AAAGAAGAGGUAUCUUAAUCGAAGAGGGCUGGAACGCCCUACCAUAGAAGGUAAUAGUCCUGUAGAUAAAAAGAGAAAACUUCGAGAUCUAAUCCAGAGUACCACGAGACACGUGAAACCUUGUGGGAAGCAGGGAGGACCACCUCCCAAGGCUAAAUACUACCUAGUGACCGAUAGUGAAGCAGUACCGUGAGGGAAAGGUGAAAAGAAC
This 211-nucleotide ribosomal RNA is filed under the name Clostridium botulinum. Its description in RNAcentral is "partial 23S ribosomal RNA". It matches the Rfam family "Bacterial large subunit ribosomal RNA", at positions 315 to 524 of the family's 2925-position model. Lineage: Bacteria; Bacillati; Bacillota; Clostridia; Eubacteriales; Clostridiaceae. The record is from RNAcentral.